Molecule: ribosomal RNA, 598 nt
Filed under: Riemerella anatipestifer
Lineage: Bacteria; Pseudomonadati; Bacteroidota; Flavobacteriia; Flavobacteriales; Weeksellaceae
Description: bacterial SSU rRNA
Rfam family: Bacterial small subunit ribosomal RNA
Source: RNAcentral
GCUGGAUGAGUAGUGUAGCGGUGAAAUGCAUAGAUAUUACUCAGAACACCGAUUGCGAAGGCAGGUUACCAAGUUAUAACUGACGCUGAGGGACGAAAGCGUGGGGAGCGAACAGGAUUAGAUACCCUGGUAGUCCACGCCGUAAACGAUGCUAACUCGUUUUUGGGCUAUAUGGUUCAGAGACUAAGCGAAAGUGAUAAGUUAGCCACCUGGGGAGUACGACCGCAAGGUUGAAACUCAAAGGAAUUGACGGGGGCCCGCACAAGCGGUGGAUCAUGUGGUUUAAUUCGAUGAUACGCGAGGAACCUUACCAAGGCUUAAAUGGGAAUUGAUAGCUGUAGAAAUACGGUUUUCUUCGGACAAUUUUCAAGGUGCUGCAUGGUUGUCGUCAGCUCGUGCCGUGAGGUGUUAGGUUAAGUCCUGCAACGAGCGCAACCCCUGUCACUAGUUGCCAUCAUUAAGUUGGGGACUCUAGUGAGACUGCCUACGCAAGUAGCGAGGAAGGUGGGGAUGACGUCAAAUCAUCACGGCCCUUACGCCUUGGGCCACACACGUGAUACAAUGGCCGGUACAGAGGGCAGCUACACUGCGAAGUGAU